AUUCCAGCUCCAAUAGCGUAUAUUAAAGUUGUUGCGGUUAAAAAGCUCGUAGUUGGAUUUCUGUUGAGGGCGACCGGUCCAUACAACGUAUGCGCAUCUGGCUCGGCCUCGGCAUCCUCUCGAUAGACGUUUCUGCGCUUGAUUGCGUGGAGCGGAUCUCGGGACUUUUACUUUGAGGAAAUUAGAGUGUUCACGGCAGGCUAUCGCCAGAAUACAUUAGCAUGGAAUAAUACUAUAGGAUCUUGGUUCUAUUUUGUUGGUUUCUAGAAUUAAGAUAAUGAUUAAUAGGGACAAUUGGGGGCAUUCGUAUCAACACGUCAGAGGUGGAAUUCUUGGAUUGUGUUGCGACGAACUACUGCGAAAGCAUUUGCCAAGGAUGUUUUCAUCA
This 388-nucleotide ribosomal RNA is filed under the name Syndiniales sp. Its description in RNAcentral is "partial small subunit ribosomal RNA". It matches the Rfam family "Eukaryotic small subunit ribosomal RNA", at positions 582 to 975 of the family's 1831-position model. Lineage: Eukaryota; Dinophyceae; Syndiniales. The record is from RNAcentral.